CUGUUUCCUUUUCUCUUUCUCGAUAGACCUCAGAAGACCACCGUCGCCGCCGUUUUCAAACCACCGUCGCUGCCGCCGUUCAGUUGUAAGUUGUAACCCAUAGCCGAAAUUCUUUUCCAUCUCCACCAUUCGUUCAUCACCAUUAACCACCACCACCACUGGCCUUUUUUUCUUCUUUCAAAUCUAUGUCUCCGGCGGCCAUGAG
Molecule: long non-coding RNA, 205 nt
Filed under: Medicago truncatula (barrel medic)
Lineage: Eukaryota; Viridiplantae; Streptophyta; Magnoliopsida; Fabales; Fabaceae
Description: long non-coding RNA (MTRU_LNC002095)
Source: RNAcentral